CCUACGGGUGGCAGCAGUGGGGAAUAUUGGACAAUGGGGGGAACCCUGAUCCAGCCAUGCCGCGUGUGUGAAGAAGGCCCUCGGGUUGUAAAGCACUUUCAGUGAGGAAGAACGCCUGGUGGUUAAUACCCAUCAGGAAAGACAUCACUCACAGAAGAAGCACCGGCUAACUCCGUGCCAGCAGCCGCGGUAAUACGGAGGGUGCGAGCGUUAAUCGGAAUUACUGGGCGUAAAGCGCGCGUAGGUGGCUUGAUAAGCCGGUUGUGAAAGCCCCGGGCUCAACCUGGGAACGGCAUCCGGAACUGUCAAGCUAGAGUGCAGGAGAGGAAGGUAGAAUUCCCGGUGUAGCGGUGAAAUGCGUAGAGAUCGGGAGGAAUACCAGUGGCGAAGGCGGCCUUCUGGAUUGACACUGACACUGAGGUGCGAAAGCGUGGGUAGCAAACAGGAUUAGAUACCCCUGUAGUC
RNAcentral lists this ribosomal RNA (465 nucleotides) under Vreelandella stevensii. RNAcentral's name for it is "partial 16S ribosomal RNA". It matches the Rfam family "Bacterial small subunit ribosomal RNA", at positions 338 to 795 of the family's 1533-position model. The record is from RNAcentral. Lineage: Bacteria; Pseudomonadati; Pseudomonadota; Gammaproteobacteria; Oceanospirillales; Halomonadaceae.